This is a long non-coding RNA of Triticum dicoccoides, 371 nucleotides long. RefSeq lists it as uncharacterized. The record is from RefSeq and is a predicted model, not a curated record. NCBI's taxonomy places the organism in Eukaryota, Viridiplantae, Streptophyta, Magnoliopsida, Poales, Poaceae. The transcript has 3 exons.
CGCCAACCAUGCCGCCCGCAACGAGGCCGCCAUAUCAAUCCUGAAGCAAUGCACCUACAUGUGCCCAGUUAUAUGAGGGAUGCCCUGGUGGAUGGUACGGGUUCAGGGAUGGCGGAUUGUGAGAGCAUACUAGUGGAUGACAUACCACAGCUGCUUAACAUCACUGCUCUGACAGUCAAUAUCACAACAUGGAAGGGACAUUCGUAUGCUUCCAGUUUGGCAAGGCUCACAAUGCAGCAAUCUUGAAGACCUCCGCAUUGAUGUCACGAGAGGCACCGAGAAGCCGGCAUGCUUGGAUCGAGCUUGCGUCUGCCACGACGAAGAUGGUUGGGAGAACCAGCAGCUCUCACUGGAGCGCCUUGUACACUUGG